AUUGAACGCUGGCGGCAUGCCUUACACAUGCAAGUCGAACGGCAGCACGGGAGCAAUCCUGGUGGCGAGUGGCGAACGGGUGAGUAAUAUAUCGGAACGUGCCCAGUCGUGGGGAGUAACGUAGCGAAAGCUACGCUAAUACCGCAUACGAUCUAUGGAUGAAAGCGGGGGAGUCGCAAGACCUCGCGCGAUUGGAGCGGCCGAUAUCAGAUUAGGUAGUUGGCGAGGUAAAGGCUCACCAAGCCGACGAUCUGUAGCUGGUCUGAGAGGACGACCAGCCACACUGGGACUGAGACACGGCCCAGACUCCUACGGGAGGCAGCAGUGGGGGAA
Molecule: ribosomal RNA, 333 nt
Filed under: uncultured bacterium
Lineage: Bacteria
Description: bacterial SSU rRNA
Rfam family: Bacterial small subunit ribosomal RNA
Source: RNAcentral